UUUUAAGUGGCCGAGUAUAGGCAGUAGAUUUUUAAUCUUCUUACGUUUUCUAGAACCUUUGCGU
This 64-nucleotide transfer RNA is filed under the name Peronia peronii. RNAcentral's name for it is "tRNA-Lys". Lineage: Eukaryota; Metazoa; Mollusca; Gastropoda; Systellommatophora; Onchidiidae. The record is from RNAcentral.